CCCUUAGAUGUUCUGGGCUGCACGCGCGCUACACUGAAGCGUUCAACGAGUAUUCACCUUGCCCGGGAGGGUUGGGUAAUCUUUUGAAAACGCUUCGUGAUGGGGAUAGAUUAUUGCAAUUAUUAAUCUUGAACGAGGAAUUCCUAGUAAACGCAAGUCAUCAGCUUGCAUUGAUUACGUCCCUGCCCUUUGUACACACCGCCUGUCGCACAAACCGAUUGAAUGAUUCGGUGAAAAUUUUGGACAUCGAGAGUGGUGAUUAAUUUCGCUGCUCUUAUAUGGAAAGAAUUUAAACCUAAUUAUUUAGAGGAUUGUGAAGUCAUAACA
RNAcentral lists this ribosomal RNA (327 nucleotides) under uncultured eukaryote. Its description in RNAcentral is "partial 18S ribosomal RNA". It matches the Rfam family "Eukaryotic small subunit ribosomal RNA", at positions 1470 to 1796 of the family's 1831-position model. The record is from RNAcentral.